CCUACGGGAGGCUGCAGUGAGGAAUAUUGGUCAAUGGUCGAGAGACUGAACCAGCCAAGCCGCGUGAGGGAUGAAGGUACAGAGUAUCGUAAACCUCUUUUGUCAGGGAACAAAGGCGGGGACGCGUCCCCGGACGAGUGUACCUGAAGAAACAGCAUCGGCUAACUCCGUGCCAGCAGCCGCGGUAAUACGGAGGAUGCGAGCGUUAUCCGGAUUUAUUGGGUUUAAAGGGUGCGCAGGCGGAUGGUUAAGUCAGCGGUCAAAGCACGGGGCUCACCCCCGUCCCGCCGUUGAAACUGGGAGGCUCGAGUUGGAGAGAAGGAUGCGGAAUGCGCGGUGUAGCGGUGAAAUGCAUAGAUA
This 360-nucleotide ribosomal RNA is filed under the name uncultured bacterium. Its description in RNAcentral is "partial 16S ribosomal RNA". It matches the Rfam family "Bacterial small subunit ribosomal RNA", at positions 338 to 696 of the family's 1533-position model. The record is from RNAcentral.